Hyposmocoma kahamanoa is the source of this 399-nucleotide long non-coding RNA. RefSeq lists it as uncharacterized. The transcript is spliced from 3 exons. The record is from RefSeq and is a predicted model, not a curated record. Lineage: Eukaryota; Metazoa; Arthropoda; Insecta; Lepidoptera; Cosmopterigidae.
GUACUCACGUAGCAGGAAAGCCGUUUUGAAUACAAAUGUCAUCAAUAGCGCAGCUACCAAACUGUCAUCAAACCAACAAAAAAGGCGACCAGUAUAUGUACUUGCUUGAUUUUCUUCAAGAAAUGGUUCAAGCGCCAAUAAAUUCAAUCAUGCAAAAUUAUCAAACUGCACCAACAAUUUUUUUUGUGCCUGAUGAUAAGGGACACGCCUAUCCAUAACAGUUGCAGUGCCACUCAGAGCUAUCGCUAAGGCCCGUCACCCUGACACACCCAGAUCGCCCAGCGUUCUUCACAAAUCAAAACGGAGCUAAGACCAUGAAAUUCCGAGGGUACUCAUAUACUCGACACUCUGUCUGCUCAUCAAGAGUCAAGUGGCUGUGUUCGGAGAGCAGGAAUAGAG